AGUAAACUUUAGGGGUGUUCGUUAAAUCGAACUGAGAAAAACCCUUUGAACCUGAUGCGGUUAGUACCGCCGAAGGGAAAAGUUGAAAAGCACAU
Molecule: non-coding RNA, 95 nt
Filed under: Tamlana sp.
Lineage: Bacteria; Pseudomonadati; Bacteroidota; Flavobacteriia; Flavobacteriales; Flavobacteriaceae
Description: TPP sequence
Rfam family: TPP riboswitch aptamer (THI element)
About the family: Vitamin B(1) in its active form thiamin pyrophosphate (TPP) is an essential coenzyme that is synthesised by coupling of pyrimidine and thiazole moieties in bacteria. The previously detected thiamin-regulatory element, thi box was extended, resulting in a new, highly conserved RNA secondary structure, the THI element, which is widely distributed in eubacteria and also occurs in some archaea. Analysis of operon structures identified a large number of new candidate thiamin-regulated genes, mostly transporters, in various prokaryotic organisms.
Source: RNAcentral